CAUCUAGAAGGUUUACGAUUCACGUUGCCCAAAAUAAAAGGUAGAUAAUAGGAAGUAGGGGAUGGAUCUUUUUCCAAUGGGAAGGAGAUCAAGAUAUGGAGGAGAGAGGGGGAGGAGAGGGAAAGGGGAUGAAACCAGAAUGAAGAAGUGUCAGUGAUGUGGACCAGCUCCGCUCUAGUCAUAUAAUCUUUAUGCACUGCAAACGCGUACCCUAAAAAAUGAAUACUGGAAAAUAUAUAAAAUCAGCAGCUAUGGCCGCUCCUAACAGGUGCGCCCGCCCGUGCUUCGGAGCGUCGAAGCCAGAUUUUGACUUCUCAGCUCUGCAAGCCCGGGGUGUCCCCUUCCCCAGACCUCGGGGAGCCGCCUCUUCAGCUUCUGCCCGCCCUGGGCCUCCCCUGACGGAAGCUUCGGUGUUGUGUCCGAUGCCGCGCGGGGUUGCUCUUCCACCGGGACAUUUAGCUCCGUCCAUGGCGAUAACAUCACCUCACUCUUCCCGUGGUCGCUUCAGAUUUCCCACAACGUUUCCUUUGUGAUCACGGUCACCGUGCCAGGCCUGGCUUUGUCCUCGGCUUUCCACGGGACUUCCUCGCGCGAAGCUUAAUCAUUUUUGCUUCCGAUUUAGAGACACAGGACUGUUGCUCUCAGUUAAGCAUUUUGGGGCCAUCGUGCGGGCACUGGUUGGUUUAAUUUCAGUAUCAUUUUUUUAGGAGGCCCAGGAGAGGGAUAAAGACAGGCUGUUUGGAGCGUGAAGCAGUCAGAACAUGGACAGUGUUUAUGAGAAUGGUUUUCCACCUUAUAUUGGGGUGUGAGACCCCAAAACAAUUAGAACAGUGACGUCAAAGAUGACUAGUCACAGAGCACCGCAACACAGAGCAGUCACCGAGAGAAGGGAGAUACUGGAUAAUCAACCCAUGGGACCCACGGACACAGUGGACAUGUGACACCGGAAAACCAGGCCCCAGAUCGCUCAGCACAAGGCUGUCACAAACCUCAGUUGCAAAUGCAAACCAACACAGUAUCUUCAAAGCUCAAGAAAGCAAAAUAAAAGGAGGCAGGCCUGGAAUGCACUCACACCCCAGCUGUUCUAACCAAGAGUGGAAAACCAUCCUUCUGCACGUACGCUCCCACAGCUGCUCUGCUCGCCUCACCCCAGCGCGCACUGGGCCUGCCUGCCCCAUGACUGUCUCCCGAUUACCAGUGCUCUGCUCCCUGUGAAGAGCCAAAGGCUCCCGGCCAGAGAAGAGAGAGAGAAGUCACUGGUUACAUGGGCCCAGUGGCUCACUUAACAAUCCUUAUGAUCUUCGUGUGAGUGAGAGACAAACAUGCUGAGGAAGUACCUGGACCGACUGAUAUCCCAAAUCAACCAAUCAUUUCCUGCAACUGCUCCAACUUUGAAGGUGUUUUUUAAGCACCAGUGUGCUGACAUUAAAGGUAUCUGUUCUGAUUCAAG
Molecule: long non-coding RNA, 1450 nt
Organism: Heterocephalus glaber (naked mole-rat)
Lineage: Eukaryota; Metazoa; Chordata; Mammalia; Rodentia; Bathyergidae
Source: RefSeq, a predicted model, not a curated record